GUGCUUGCUUCAGUAGCACAUAUACUUAAACAGGAAUGAUGCAGAGAAGAUUAGCAUGGCCCCUACACAAGGAAGACACACAAAUUCAUGAAGCAUUCCAUUAAAAA
Molecule: small nuclear RNA, 107 nt
Organism: Vombatus ursinus (common wombat)
Lineage: Eukaryota; Metazoa; Chordata; Mammalia; Diprotodontia; Vombatidae
Source: Ensembl